RNAcentral lists this ribosomal RNA (424 nucleotides) under uncultured prokaryote. RNAcentral's name for it is "bacterial SSU rRNA". It matches the Rfam family "Bacterial small subunit ribosomal RNA", at positions 355 to 796 of the family's 1533-position model. The record is from RNAcentral.
UGGGGAAUUUUGCGCAAUGGGCGCAAGCCUGAUGCAGCCAUGCCGCGUGAGUGAUGAAGGCCCUAGGGUUGUAAAGCUCUUUCAGUGGGGAAGAUAAUGACGGUACCCACAGAAGAAGCCCCGGCUAACUCCGUGCCAGCAGCCGCGGUAAUACGGAGGGGGCUAGCGUUGUUCGGAAUUACUGGGCGUAAAGCGCACGUAGGCGGGUUGAUUAGUCGGGGGUGAAAGCCCGGGGCUUAACCUCGGAAUUGCCUUAGAUUCUGUCAGCCUAGAGUCCGAGGGAGGUGAGUGGAAUUCCCAGUGUAGAGGUGAAAUUCGUAGAUAUUGGGAAGAACACCAGUGGCGAAGGCGGCUCACUGGCUCGGUACUGACGCUGAGGUGCGAAAGCGUGGGGAGCAAACAGGAUUAGAUACCCGCGUAGUCC